Molecule: ribosomal RNA, 257 nt
Filed under: uncultured bacterium
Lineage: Bacteria
Description: partial small subunit ribosomal RNA
Rfam family: Bacterial small subunit ribosomal RNA
Source: RNAcentral
AGGACGAACGCUGGCGGCGUGCUUAACACAUGCAAGUCGAACGGUAAGGCCCCUUCGGGGGUACACGAGUGGCGAACGGGUGAGUAACACGUGAGCAACCUGCCUCUGACAUUGGAAUAACAGUUGGAAACAGCUGCUAAUACCGGGUAUGACCUGUCACCGCAUGGUGGUGGGUGGAAAGCCUUGGCGGUCAGAGAUGGGCUCGCGGCCUAUCAGCUAGUUGGUGAGGUAAUGGCUCACCAAGGCUUCGACGGGUA